Linepithema humile (Argentine ant) is the source of this 155-nucleotide non-coding RNA. Lineage: Eukaryota; Metazoa; Arthropoda; Insecta; Hymenoptera; Formicidae. The record is from RefSeq and is a predicted model, not a curated record.
GGAACAUGAACUGAACUGACUGCACUAAGAGCAAGAGCAAGUAAAAAGCUUACUUUGUGCUUGUGAAAUAUUCGUAUGCAACGUGAUAUAAUAAAUUCUGAAGUAAUGGCCUGUUGUGUCAAAGGUUGCAAUUCAAGGGGAGAUAAAAAGGAUCA